This 276-nucleotide ribosomal RNA is filed under the name uncultured bacterium. Its description in RNAcentral is "partial 16S ribosomal RNA". It matches the Rfam family "Bacterial small subunit ribosomal RNA", at positions 335 to 604 of the family's 1533-position model. The record is from RNAcentral.
ACUCCUACGGGAGGCAGCAGUGGGGAAUAUUGGACAAUGGGGAAACCGUGAUCCAGCCAUGCCGCGUGUGUGAAGAAGGCCUUCGGGUUGUAAAGCACUUUCAGUGGGGAGGAAAGGUUGAUGGUUAAUACCUAUCAGCUGUGACGUUACCCACAGAAGAAGCACCGGCUAACUCCGUGCCAGCAGCCGCGGUAAUACGGAGGGUGCAAGCGUUAAUCGGAAUUACUGGGCGUAAAGCGUGCGCAGGCGGUCUGUUAAGCGAGAUGUGAAAGCCCC